Molecule: ribosomal RNA, 1217 nt
Filed under: metagenome
Description: bacterial SSU rRNA
Rfam family: Bacterial small subunit ribosomal RNA
Source: RNAcentral
AGGUAACGGCCCACCAAGGCGACGAUCGGUAGCCGGACUGAGAGGUUGAACGGCCACAUUGGGACUGAGACACGGCCCAGACUCCUACGGGAGGCAGCAGUGGGGAAUAUUGCACAAUGGGGGAAACCCUGAUGCAGCGACGCCGCGUGGAGGAAGAAGGUCUUCGGAUUGUAAACUCCUGUUGCUGAGGAAGAUAAUGACGGUACUCAACAAGGAAGUGACGGCUAACUACGUGCCAGCAGCCGCGGUAAAACGUAGGUCACAAGCGUUGUCCGGAAUUACUGGGUGUAAAGGGAGUGCAGGCGGGAAGACAAGUUGGAAGUGAAAUCCAUGGGCUUAACCCAUGAACUGCUUUCAAAACUGUUUUUCUUGAGUAGUGCAGAGGUAGGCGGAAUUCCCGGUGUAGCGGUGGAAUGCGUAGAUAUCGGGAGGAACACCAGUGGCGAAGGCGGCCUACUGGGCACCAACUGACGCUGAGGCUCGAAAGUGUGGGUAGCAAACAGGAUUAGAUACCCUGGUAGUCCACACCGUAAACGAUGAUUACUAGGUGUUGGAGGAUUGACCCCUUCAGUGCCGCAGUUAACACAAUAAGUAAUCCACCUGGGGAGUACGACCGCAAGGUUGAAACUCAAAGGAAUUGACGGGGGCCCGCACAAGCAGUGGAGUAUGUGGUUUAAUUCGACGCAACGCGAAGAACCUUACCAAGUCUUGACAUCCUGUGACAGACGUAGAAAUACGUUCUUCCUUCGGGACACAGAGACAGGUGGUGCAUGGUUGUCGUCAGCUCGUGUCGUGAGAUGUUGGGUUAAGUCCCGCAACGAGCGCAACCCUUAUGGUCAGUUACUACGCAAGAGGACUCUGGCCAGACUGCCGUUGACAAAACGGAGGAAGGUGGGGAAGACGUCAAAUCAUCAUGCCCUUUAUGACUUGGGCUACACACGUACUACAAUGGCGUUAAACAAAGAGAAGCAAGACCGCGAGGUGGAGCAAAACUCAGAAACAACGUCCCAGUUCGGACUGCAAGCUGCAACUCGCCUGCACGAAGUCGGAAUUGCUAGUAAUCGUGGAUCAGCGUGCCACGGUGAAUACGUUCCCGGGCCUUGUACACACCGCCCGUCACACCAUGAGAGCCGGGGGGACCCGAAGUCGGUAGUCUAACCGCAAGGAGGACGCCGCCGAAGGUAAAACUGGUGAUUGGGGUGAAGUCGUAACAAGGU